Long non-coding RNA from Spinacia oleracea (spinach), 1302 nucleotides. RefSeq lists it as uncharacterized. Lineage: Eukaryota; Viridiplantae; Streptophyta; Magnoliopsida; Caryophyllales; Amaranthaceae. The record is from RefSeq and is a predicted model, not a curated record. The transcript has 5 exons.
CUGAAAUUCCCCUCACCUUCAACCUAAAAAGUAAAAUGCUCAUUUGAACUCGCCUCCCUUUGUGAAAUUGAUAUCGACAAAACGUUUCAUCCUAUUUCUUUCUCUUUCACUACAUAUCCUAGCCCCCAAUUUCCAAACCCUUCAAUUUUAGAUCGCUAAACCUUUCAUCUACCACCCUAUUAAUCCAAGUAAUGAAUUUUAUUAAAACCCUAGAUUUUGCAGCAAACAUGGGGGAGGUUAAUUGCGAGUGUCAAUGGCUUAUUUUAGAGAGCAAGGAUUAGAGAAGCGGUGGAACAACACCAACGCAGCGUGAAAGAGUGAGAAAAUGGAGAACGAAAGGUGAAUUGUGAGGUUGAAGUGAUUUCAUGGAGGAAGUGUCGGGUUAAGGUAAAGUUCGAUAUCAAAUCGGCUUGGAAUGCUCUAAUAGAUUGUGAAUACCUCGCUGAUUGUGUCGCAAAUCUCGUUUGCAGCGUCACGACAUAAUCGAAAAUGACAGAUGCAAGUAUGCAAAAACUCCAGACAAAAUGAUGCAAGCCCCAAAAUCAGACAGAAUCGAUUCCACUAGCAAGCUGGCAGGACAGAAUAUGCACAGGGUGCUCGUAGAAAUCAUCUAGUUCCUGUAAUAAAAAAGGAAGAUGGUUCUGCUAGCAGAGCUUUCCUUGACAAUGUUGGUCAAUGAUACGCUUUUGGUUAGAUUGACACUAGAUUUGUGGAAGUGAUGACAUUCAGAAAACACCACAUGGCAUUUUUUUUCAGAAGUCGGAUCUAUUCUUCGUCUGAAUGCUACAACCUCUGUGCUUUAAAAUUCAAGUUUAGGAAACAGAACCUGCAACAACUUUGUGGAUGCCCUUCCAAGAAUAUGCAAUGCAGUAUUUUGUUCAGAGAUAUGAGAUCUAAGUUCUUGAGGUACAUGGUUAAAAUUUGCAACGCAAGAAUGGAGGGUCAGUAUUCAGGAUUUCCGGCCAACAGUGGCUAUCAACCAAGCUUUAGAGAUGGACGCAAAUUCAUCUGCUUCAACAAUCAGUCUUUCAAAUGAGAUACAUAGCUAACUAUGUACAACAUACGUAAAAUAUCGUAUAGUGGAUAUGCACAUCAUGACACUAGAAUUAAAGGGUGUUAUUACUGAAUGAUACUCAAGAGAACGCUUCAACUAGUUAGAUUUUGUUUUGUUCUUUUAGAUUGAACAAGAAUUACUUAUCUUUUAGUUUUUGAGAAUUUAAAGAUGAGUGUUGUAAUUUUUGGUUUCACAUAACUUGAAAUUCUAUUGUCAAUAAUCUUUCGAGUAAUGCAAUUUUCAUUUGU